RNAcentral lists this ribosomal RNA (460 nucleotides) under uncultured bacterium. Its description in RNAcentral is "partial 16S ribosomal RNA". It matches the Rfam family "Bacterial small subunit ribosomal RNA", at positions 338 to 795 of the family's 1533-position model. The record is from RNAcentral.
CCUACGGGAGGCAGCAGUGAGGAAUAUUGGUCAAUGGGCGCGAGCCUGAACCAGCCAAGUCGCGUGAGGGAGGACGGCCCUACGGGUUGUAAACCUCUUUUGCCGGGGAGCAACGGGCGUCACGUGUGGCGCCCCUGAGAGUACCCGGAGAAAAAGCAUCGGCUAACUCCGUGCCAGCAGCCGCGGUAAUACGGAGGAUGCGAGCGUUAUCCGGAUUUAUUGGGUUUAAAGGGUGCGUAGGCGGAUCGUUAAGUCAGUGGUCAAAUUGAGGGGCUCAACCCCUUCCCGCCAUUGAAACUGGCGCUCUUGAGUGGAAGAGAAGUAGGCGGAAUGCGUGGUGUAGCGGUGAAAUGCAUAGAUAUCACGCAGAACCCCGAUUGCGAAGGCAGCAUGCCGGCUUCCGACUGACGCUGAAGCACGAAAGCGUGGGGAGCAAACAGGAUUAGAUACCCCUGUAGUC